GAUGAACGCUGGCGGCGUGCCUAAUACAUGCAAGUCGGGCGAACGGACGAGAAGCUUGCUUCUCUGAUGUUAGCGGCGGACGGGUGAGUAACACGUGGAUAACCUACCUAUAAGACUGGGAUAACUUCGGGAAACCGUAGCUAAUACCGGAUAAUAUUUUGAACCGCAUGGUUCAAAAGUGAAAGACGGUCUUGCUGUCACUUAUAGAUGGAUCCGCGCUGCAUUAGCUAGUUGGUAAGGUAACGGCUUACCAAGGCAACGAUGCAUAGCCGACCUGAGAGGGUGAUCGGCCACACUGGAACUGAGACACGGUCCAGACUCCUACGGGAGGCAGCAGUAGGGAAUCUUCCGCAAUGGGCGAAAGCCUGACGGAGCAACGCCGCGUGAGUGAUGAAGGUCUUCGGAUCGUAAAACUCUGUUAUUAGGGAAGAACAAAUGUGUAAGUAACUGUGCACAUCUUGACGGUACCUAAUCAGAAAGCCACGGCUAACUACGUG
RNAcentral lists this ribosomal RNA (497 nucleotides) under uncultured bacterium. RNAcentral describes it as "partial 16S ribosomal RNA". It matches the Rfam family "Bacterial small subunit ribosomal RNA", at positions 28 to 507 of the family's 1533-position model. The record is from RNAcentral.